GACGAACGCUGGCGGCGUGCUUAACACAUGCAAGUCGAACGGAAAGGCCUCUUUCGGGGGGUACUCGAGUGGCGAACGGGUGAGUAACACGUGAGUAACCUGCCCUUGACUUUGGGAUAACUUCAGGAAACUGGGGCUAAUACCGGAUAGGAGCUCCUGCUGCAUGGUGGGGGUUGGAAAGUUUCGGCGGUUGGGGAUGGACUCGCGGCUUAUCAGCUUGUUGGUGGGGUAGUGGCUUACCAAGGCUUUGACGGGUAGCCGGCCUGAGAGGGUGACCGGCCACAUUGGGACUGAGAUACGGCCCAGACUCCUACGGGAGGCAGCAGUGGGGAAUAUUGCACAAUGGGUGGAGGCCUGAUGCAGCAACGCCGUGUGCGGGAUGACGGCCUUCGGGUUGUAAACCGCUUUCGCUCAUGACGAAGCUUUGUGUGACGGUAGUGGGUAAAGAAGCACCGGCUAACUACGU
This 466-nucleotide ribosomal RNA is filed under the name uncultured bacterium. RNAcentral describes it as "partial 16S ribosomal RNA". It matches the Rfam family "Bacterial small subunit ribosomal RNA", at positions 28 to 506 of the family's 1533-position model. The record is from RNAcentral.